GAUAACAUCAGAAGAUGCGGAAGCAAAGGCUUCAAAAUGGUACAAGCUUGAACCCAAAUCAUUAGGAAGACUGGCUCCAAUUAUUAGAUCGAAACACAUAUAAUGAGCAUCCUGUGACGUCCUAACUUGACGCUCUGACUCUUGGUAAAGAUUUAGUGCCAAGGAAUCCAACGCUUGAUAAUUGUUAUAUAUAAUUCUACACUUGCUGGGAAAUUCUUCAACCUGCGUUUCGGUCGUAUUGGAAGCAUAGUAUCUGUAGAAAUGUUAGCCCAAAGCCAAGGACUGAUACAAAACACAGUCAAUUGAUACACUGCAGAGGCGUCUGAUGUCUGUCUCUUGCUUGAUUUGAGGAUUAGAAUAGAAGCACUUGAGGCAGUAUUCAGGACGUGAUGUGUUGCUGCACACGAUGCUGAUAAGAGGAUGAUCAUCUCCAUUAGAAAACACUGGUUUCUGCUUUGAAUUCUCUCCGUGCAUUUUGAUUGAUUCUCUGGAUGGUUGAAGAAUGGUAUUUAUAAGGAAGACUGUUGGGAUGAAGAUCAGAAAUGUGAAGCAAAUGGGCAGGCUACAGCUUGGAGAGGAGGCCAUCUUCGAUGGCAUAGAC
Molecule: long non-coding RNA, 601 nt
Filed under: Theobroma cacao (cacao)
Lineage: Eukaryota; Viridiplantae; Streptophyta; Magnoliopsida; Malvales; Malvaceae
Description: long non-coding RNA (TCAC_LNC002130)
Source: RNAcentral